CCUACGGGAGGCAGCAGUGAGGAAUAUUGGUCAAUGGGCGGGAGCCUGAACCAGCCAAGUCGCGUGAGGGAAGACGGUCCUAUGGAUUGUAAACCUCUUUAGGCGGGGAGCAAUGCCGGGCACGCGUGCCCGGAGGGAGAGUACCCGCAGAAUAAGCAUCGGCUAACCCCGUGCCAGCAGCCGCGGUAAUACGGAGGAUGCGAGCGUUAUCCGGCUGUAUUGGGGUUAAAGGGUGCGUAGGCGGAUUUUUAAGUCAGCGGUAAAAUGUCCGGGCUCAACCCGGGCCGGCCGUUGAAACUGGGGAUCUUGAGUGGGCGAGAAGUAUGCGGAAUGCGUGGUGUAGCGGUGAAAUGCAUAGAUAUCACGCAGAACUCCGAUUGCGAAGGCAGCAUACCGGCGCCCGACUGACGCUGAGGCACGAAAGCGUGGGGAUCGAACAGGAUUAGAUACCCCAGUAGUC
This 460-nucleotide ribosomal RNA is filed under the name uncultured bacterium. Its description in RNAcentral is "partial 16S ribosomal RNA". It matches the Rfam family "Bacterial small subunit ribosomal RNA", at positions 338 to 795 of the family's 1533-position model. The record is from RNAcentral.